This 531-nucleotide long non-coding RNA is filed under the name Elaeis guineensis (African oil palm). RNAcentral's name for it is "long non-coding RNA (EGUI_LNC034036)". Lineage: Eukaryota; Viridiplantae; Streptophyta; Magnoliopsida; Arecales; Arecaceae. The record is from RNAcentral.
UAAAAUUUUUUCUCUCUAAGUUAUUUCUCUCUCCUAAGAUUUUUUAAAAUUUUGAGAAGAAUGAUGAUAAAUUUAAAUGAUCCUAGUGAUGGAUUUUGAUCUGUGAUCGCCAGACAGUAUACCGGCAUCCACCUUGAUCAGACCAAAUAUCUUUAGAUUUUAUCAUCCAUGAUUUUUUAUUAAAUUAUCCACAUGAUAAUUUCAGCAUGAUUUGAUCUGAUCGAUCGGAUUGUUGAGUCAUAUCAUCUGAAGAAUCCAAGAUGAAUUUUUCUCUCUCUAAAACUAUUUCUCUUUCUCUUGAUUGAUUUCUCUCUCUAAAAAGAUUAGUCAAUGAAAAUUUUUUUUUAAUAUUUCUGAUCUGAUGAAGAAUCUUGAUCCAUGAUUGUCGGACAACGUGCUGGCACUCAUCUUGAUCAGACCCAAUAUUUUUCAAUUUGAUUAUCUAUAAUCUUGAUUUAAAUAUGACUUGGAUUAGAUCAUUUUGAUCAUACCAAUCGAGAUGUUGGACUGUGGCACCUGAUUAAUUUGGAU